This 492-nucleotide ribosomal RNA is filed under the name uncultured bacterium. RNAcentral describes it as "partial 16S ribosomal RNA". It matches the Rfam family "Bacterial small subunit ribosomal RNA", at positions 29 to 507 of the family's 1533-position model. The record is from RNAcentral.
AGUGAACGCUGGCGGUAGGCCUAACACACGCAAGUCGAACGGCAGCACAGUAAGAGCUUGCUCUUACGGGUGGCGAGUGGCGGACGGGUGAGGAAUACAUCGGAAUCUACUUUUUCGUGGGGGAUAACGUAGGGAAACUUACGCUAAUACCGCAUACGACCUACGGGUGAAAGCAGGGGAUCUUCGGACCUUGCGCGAUUGAAUGAGCCGAUGUCGGAUUAGCCAGUUGGCGGGGUAAAGGCCCACCAAGGCGACGAUCCGUAGCUGGUCUGAGAGGAUGAUCAGCCACACUGGAACUGAGACACGGUCCAGACUCCUACGGGAGGCAGCAGUGGGGAAUAUUGGACAAUGGGCGCAAGCCUGAUCCAGCCAUACCGCGUGGGUGAAGAAGGCCUUCGGGUUGUAAAGCCCUUUUGUUGGGAAAGAAAAGCAGCAGGUUAAUACCCCGCUGUUCUGACGGUACCCAAAGAAUAAGCACCGGCUAACUUCGUG